RNAcentral lists this long non-coding RNA (522 nucleotides) under Homo sapiens (human). RNAcentral describes it as "non-protein coding lnc-LIMA1-1:8". The record is from RNAcentral. Lineage: Eukaryota; Metazoa; Chordata; Mammalia; Primates; Hominidae.
AGUGAGGGAAGUGGGCCGGGAGGAGAGAUGGGCGGUGAAGAGGCCCGGCCCUGCCAGGGAGGCGGGCGGAUCCGUGGCAGUGACCAGAAGGGGCCGGAAGGGGGUGGCCGCCGGCCGGGCCCCGCCCUGGGGCCGCCUCCCCGCGGGUUCCGUUGGCUGUGGCGGCAGCUGACGCUUGUGGCGGCGGUGGCUUCGGGGUGGGCGUAAGAUGGCGACAGCAGCGCAGGGACCCCUAAGCUUGCUGUGGGGCUGGCUGUGGAGCGAGCGCUUCUGGCUACCCGAGAACGUGAGCUGGGCUGAUCUGGAGGGGCCGGCCGACGGCUACGGUUACCCCCGCGGCCGGCACAUCCUCUCGGUGUUCCCGCUGGCGGCGGGCAUCUUCUUCGUGAGGCUGCUCUUCGAGCGAUGGAGUCUCGCUCUGUUACCCAGGCCAGAGAGAGUGCAAUGGCGUGAUCUCAGCUCAUUGUAAUUUCCGCCUCCUGGAUUUAUUGCCAAACCCUGUGCACUCUGUAUUGGCAUCGA